This 197-nucleotide ribosomal RNA is filed under the name uncultured bacterium. Its description in RNAcentral is "partial 16S ribosomal RNA". It matches the Rfam family "Bacterial small subunit ribosomal RNA", at positions 328 to 539 of the family's 1533-position model. The record is from RNAcentral.
ACGCUCGACACCUACGGGGGCAGCAGUGGGGAAUAUUGCACAAUGGGGGAAACCCUGAUGCAGCAACGCCGCGUGAAGGAAGACGGUUUUCGGAUUGUAAACUUCUGUUCUUAGUGAAGAUAGUGACGGUAGCUAAGGAGCAAGCCACGGCUAACUACGUGCCAGCAGCCACGGUAAUCUGAGCGGGCUGGCAAGGC